This is a long non-coding RNA of Dasypus novemcinctus (nine-banded armadillo), 2523 nucleotides long. The record is from Ensembl. NCBI's taxonomy places the organism in Eukaryota, Metazoa, Chordata, Mammalia, Cingulata, Dasypodidae.
GUCCCCACAAGGAUAAUGUUUAUUGAAUUUCAAUUCAAGCUCACGGGCCCUGAUUAAGAACCCCUGGACCAACAUAACUUACAGUCUGCAGUUAACAGUAAUAUUGUAAUAUUUUUACAGCAAUGGCAAGGAAGAUACUAUGUCAAUGCUAAAGGUCAGUAAUGGGCGGGUGGAAGGGGGUAUAGGAUCUUCCAUUUUGGAAUAAUGAAAUGCUCUGAAAUGGACUGAACUGCUGACGCACAUCCCCGUGAUGAACCUGAGAGCCCCUGAGGGUCCACCCUGGACGGACUGAACCAGGCGGGGGGCGUGUAACACAGAGACUCGGGGAUGAGUGCGGGACUGUGGUGAGCACACAAACGCGAGAACGUUCUCUCAUGACCUGUAACAAAUGGACCGUAGACACACGGUGUUAAUACUGGGACUGUUUGUGGGGGAAAGCCGCCAAGUGUAAGCUCUGGCCCACGAUAUGAUGACAAUGUUCUUUCAUCGUUGGUAACAAACGUGUCACCACGGUGUAAGGUGGGGGGGCGACGUAUGGGAAUCCCGCGUGAUUGUUUUGUUAACUCACGACUUCUCAAAUAACUUAAAAACGUGCUUCCUCAAGGUCACACAGCUGAAAAGCAGCAGAGCCGGGGUCGGGGCCCCGGAAGCCCAGCCCCAGAGCCCACGCGCUGUCCCUCUAGGCCACAGCGCCCAGGGAGGGUGGGAGCAGGACAAUCGAGCCCCAAAGUGCAGGGGGUGGAGGGGGGCCCCUAAAACAGCCAGGCCUCAGACCACGGGCCCAGCGCCCCGAGGUCCCCGAGAGGACACGGCUCUUGCUCCAGGCCCCACACACACACGGACACACAGGGACACCCAGUCACACUCAGACACCCACGGCCACAUCCAGAGACACACCGACUCGCCCACGCAGACAGGCCUGCAGGGACACGACGCCUCAGCCUCACCGACCGGGCGCAGCCCCUUAGCUCCUGGGGCCGGCUGCAGGAAACGCUCCGCUGCCCAAGCCGUUUUCACUUCAGCUUUUCCUAAAUUUGCUCUGAGGAAGUUGCUGCCUCCUUGGAGGCCUCCCCUCCCUCUCACGCGCUCCAGACCACAUCCCUUCCCUGCCCCCAAUUCUCUGAAAGUGACCAAAAUAAAGUGCCCUGCCCUAGUGGAGCGGGAAGACUCAGAGCACGUGAAGGGACCAGCGAGGCUGCCCGCAGAAGCCAGCAGGGUCGCUCUGGCUGCUGGAUGGAGAAGAGGCAGGGAGGUCCAGGAGGGAAGCAGGAACACCGACCCGGAGAUGACCACAGGAGCAGUCCAGGUGAGAGAGGGCAGGUGCGGCCACAGAGGCAGGUCCCACCCUGCCCUGACCCUGGGGGACUUCUCAAACCACAGCAUCCACCCUAUCCUCACUUGUUUGUUUCCCCCUUCCAUCAGGAGGUCUUCCAGCCAGGAUUUACUGAACACCUGCUACACGCUCAGCUGGUCAGGGGGACAGUGGCCGCAGUCCCUGCUCCAGGCCGAAAGCAGCAAAGACCACAGGCCUGGCGAGGGUGGUGAGAAGCUGAGAGGGCAGAGAGCGCUGCUCCGGGGAACUCAGGUGCGGGCCCAGGGCGCAGAGGCCUCCGAGAGGCCGUGCCGGGGUUGCUGAGCCCGGGAGGGCGAGCUGGGGUCGGCCAGGGCGGAAAAGAGGGGUAAGCAUUCCAGGCAGGGCACACAGCCUGAGGGAGCACCGGGGCGCUGGCCUCCUGCACCUGCCAACGGCUCCCCCUCCUUUGCCUCCUCCAGGCCAACGAGCCCAGAGGAGUCUGGGGGCCUCUGUGAAACGGGGAUCCUCUUCAUGCCUGCCCCACCCAGGCAUGAGGAGUCAGCCAGUGCCAGGUGUGGGGCCUGGCACGCAAGGGGACAACGCACCACAGAGUCUGGAGAAGUAGGAGUCCCCGUGAUGAGGUGCAAUCGAGGGUCCCAAGGAAGGCCUCCAACAGCCCAUCCCCAAAGCCCUCCCCAGCCUGCUUCCUGCUGAGCCUGAAACCUCGCCACAGCUCAGCCCUCACAGCUCAGCUCCAGUCUCCCUCUUCCAGGAAGACUUCCUUGAUUGCUGCAGCCCACAGAGCUCUCUCUCCCUUUCUCUCUCUCCUCACUUUGCACUGGUCUUUGGCCCUCUGAGUCCUAAUCUUGCCUGAGAAAGUGUCCAACUCAGCCCUCCCCUGAUCCCACAGGCAGAUGAGGAAACUGAGGCCCAGACAGGCCUCAUGAGGUUGCACAGUGAGUUCUCAGGGGAGCUGGGCCAGGGGCCGCUCAGCCACUGCACGGUACUCCGUGUCCCUCAGUCGGCACAGGUCAGAUUUGCCAUUGGCACGUUUAAAAUGAAUUACAGCACACUUCAUGCACGCUGAGGCCCAGGGCGGGCAGCUCCCCGCGGCUGCGUGCCUUGCUCCUGCGCAGCUGGGAGGCCCGUCGAGACGGGACCGUGGCUCCCUGCUCGGCACUCCUGGCCUCCCCAGCCGAGGCGCCGGGCGGUCCUUCAGCCACCCUUUG